GUAAGGAAUAUUGGUCAAUGGGCGCAAGCCUGAACCAGCCAUGCCGCGUGCAGGAAGACGGCCCUACGGGUUGUAAACUGCUUUUAUACGGGAAUAACCCCGGUUUCGUGAAACCGGCUGAAUGUACCGUAAGAAUAAGGAUCGGCUAACUCCGUGCCAGCAGCCGCGGUAAUACGGAGGAUCCAAGCGUUAUCCGGAUUUAUUGGGUUUAAAGGGUGCGUAGGCGGCCUGCUAAGUCAGGGGUGAAAGACGGUGGCUCAACCAUCGCAGUGCCUUUGAUACUGGCGGGCUUGAAUGUACAUGAGGUAGGCGGAAUGUGACAAGUAGCGGUGAAAUGCAUAGAUAUGUCACAGAACACCGAUUGCGAAGGCAGCUUACUAAGGUAUAAUUGACGCUGAGGCACGAAAGCGUGGGGAUCAAACAGGAUUAGAUACCCCUGUAGUCC
RNAcentral lists this ribosomal RNA (445 nucleotides) under uncultured bacterium. RNAcentral describes it as "bacterial SSU rRNA". It matches the Rfam family "Bacterial small subunit ribosomal RNA", at positions 354 to 796 of the family's 1533-position model. The record is from RNAcentral.